RNAcentral lists this ribosomal RNA (253 nucleotides) under uncultured bacterium. Its description in RNAcentral is "partial 16S ribosomal RNA". It matches the Rfam family "Bacterial small subunit ribosomal RNA", at positions 524 to 776 of the family's 1533-position model. The record is from RNAcentral.
UACGGAGGGUGCAAGCGUUAGUCGGAAUUACUGGGCGUAAAGGGUGCGUAGGCGGAAAUAUAAGUCAGAUGUGAAAAACCAAAGCUCAACUUUGGCAGUGCAUCUGAAACUGUAUUUCUAGAGGAAGAGCGGAGAAAACGGAAUUCCACGUGUAGCGGUGAAAUGCGUAGAUAUGUGGAAGAACAACUGUGGCGAAAGCGGUUUUCUAGCUUACUACUGACGCUGAGGCACGAAAGCAAGGGGAGCAAACAGG